This 82-nucleotide transfer RNA is filed under the name Echinostoma caproni. It matches the Rfam family "tRNA". From Rfam's summary of the family: Transfer RNA (tRNA) molecules are approximately 80 nucleotides in length. Their secondary structure includes four short double-helical elements and three loops (D, anti-codon, and T loops). The record is from Rfam by way of RNAcentral. Lineage: Eukaryota; Metazoa; Platyhelminthes; Trematoda; Plagiorchiida; Echinostomatidae.
GGCCUUGUAGCUCAGCUGAUUGAGUAUGCGCGUACAAAGCGUAGGCGGUGUCCGUGCGUCGGUUCAAAUCCCACUGAGGCUA